GAAGGGAAAGCUACUUGAGGUUGCUAGUUUUGGCUAAUGGCGGCGAUGACGCAAGCAGCAGCGCUAGGGUUUUUUUUUUCAAGAUGGGGAAUGACAGAUGCGAAUGACUAGAAGCGUAAACCACGGAGGCUACCGGCCUUAUCUUUUAAAACAACACAACGGAUCUAAAACGACCCCGAGAUUCUGGCAACACAGCCACUAAUUUCGCAAUGGUCUCAUACUCUCCAGAUUUAUCACGAGAAUGAAGUCCAACGGUCACGUUGAUCAUGGUUGACCCCUUCAUUGCUUGAGCGUAGUCGAUCAAAGUGCACGGGGCUGCAUACACCUCGCUCGUUGGACAAAAUUUUCUUUUUCUUCAGUGAUUAAGGAAAGACAAAGCAAAUUCAGUUUGACCCUCAUCCUAAUUCUUCGAUUCAACCUAAAGCUCGGGGGCUACUCCAUAUGGAGUGCGAUUUUCAUUGCACUUCCAUAUAAAAGACUUGAA
Molecule: long non-coding RNA, 484 nt
Filed under: Setaria viridis
Lineage: Eukaryota; Viridiplantae; Streptophyta; Magnoliopsida; Poales; Poaceae
Description: long non-coding RNA (SVIR_LNC006774)
Source: RNAcentral